CCAGACUCCUACGGGAGGCAGCAGUGAGGAAUAUUGGUCAAUGGUCGGGAGACUGAACCAGCCAAGCCGCGUGAGGGAUGAAGGUACAGAGUAUCGUAAACCUCUUUUGUCGGGGAGCAAAAGCCGGACGUGUCCGGCUGUGAGAGUACCCGAAGAAAAAGCAUCGGCUAACUCCGUGCCAGCAGCCGCGGUAAUACGGAGGAUGCGAGCGUUAUCCGGAUUUAUUGGGUUUAAAGGGUGCGUAGGCGGAAUGCCAAGUCAGCGGUAAAAGCGCGGGGCUCAACCUCGCUCCGCCGUUGAAACUGGCGUUCUUGAGUGGGCGAGAAGUAUGCGGAAUGCGUGGUGUAGCGGUGAAAUGCAUAGAUAUCACGCAGAACUCCGAUUGCGAAGGCAGCAUACCGGCGCCCGACUGACGCUGAGGCACGAAAGCGUGGGGAUCGAACAGGAUUAGAUACCCUGGUAAA
This 464-nucleotide ribosomal RNA is filed under the name uncultured bacterium. RNAcentral's name for it is "bacterial SSU rRNA". It matches the Rfam family "Bacterial small subunit ribosomal RNA", at positions 331 to 794 of the family's 1533-position model. The record is from RNAcentral.